CAGGGGGGAGGGGGUGUCCCUCAGCCCGGAUUGCAAGAGGGUACAGGCCAGGCCGAGGGACCCCACUGGUGCACA
RNAcentral lists this microRNA precursor (75 nucleotides) under Myotis lucifugus (little brown bat). RNAcentral's name for it is "mir-9193 microRNA precursor family". It matches the Rfam family "mir-9193 microRNA precursor family". Lineage: Eukaryota; Metazoa; Chordata; Mammalia; Chiroptera; Vespertilionidae. The record is from Rfam by way of RNAcentral.